UACAGAGGGUGCGAGCGUUGUCCGGAAUCACUGGGCGUAAAGGGCGCGUAGGCGGCUUGAUAAGCGUGCGGUGAAAGCCCGGGGCUCAACCCCGGGUCGGCCGUGCGAACUGUCGAGCUGGAGCACUGUAGAGGCAGGUGGAAUUCCGGGUGUAGCGGUGGAAUGCGUAGAGAUCCGGAAGAACACCGGUGGCGAAGGCGGCCUGCUGGGCAGUGGCUGACGCUGAGGCGCGACAGCGUGGGGAGCGAACCGG
RNAcentral lists this ribosomal RNA (253 nucleotides) under uncultured bacterium. Its description in RNAcentral is "partial 16S ribosomal RNA". It matches the Rfam family "Bacterial small subunit ribosomal RNA", at positions 524 to 776 of the family's 1533-position model. The record is from RNAcentral.